AUGCUCGCUUUGGCAGUAUAUAUACUAAAAUGGGAACAAUACAGAGAAGAUUAGCAUGGCC
RNAcentral lists this small nuclear RNA (61 nucleotides) under Bos mutus (wild yak). The record is from RNAcentral. Lineage: Eukaryota; Metazoa; Chordata; Mammalia; Artiodactyla; Bovidae.